UACGCUCCCGAAGUAUUUGUCCAGCAGCUCCACGUAGCGGUGGAUGAGCUCCAGGGUCAGCAGCUCAUUGUCAGCCCCCUCGAUGGCGCAGCAGAAGUACAGGCUGGCGUACCUUUUAUAGACCACCUUCAGCUCUCCCCACUCCAGGAAGCUGCACAUCUUGGGUUUCCGGGCCAGCACCGCCUGCAUCAGCUCCCGCGCCGCCUUCCGCUUGUCGCGCUCCGCCCCGGCCCGGUACCAUUGCUGCAGGCGCAGCUUCCCCUGCCGGCUGAACAGCAGCACGAAGCGCAGCAUGGCGCCGCCGCUGCUUCCGCUGCCAGCCCCGCUUCCGGUCUGCGCCCCCCGUCCACUUCCGGUGAACGCGGGGCGUCACUUCCGGCCGGGGGCGGGGCCGGCGCUGAUUGGCCCGCGCGGGGAAGGGCGCGUUGCCAUGGGAACGGCCGCGCGCGGCCUA
This 454-nucleotide long non-coding RNA is filed under the name Gallus gallus (chicken). Lineage: Eukaryota; Metazoa; Chordata; Aves; Galliformes; Phasianidae. The record is from RNAcentral.